Molecule: small RNA, 804 nt
Filed under: Arabidopsis thaliana (thale cress)
Lineage: Eukaryota; Viridiplantae; Streptophyta; Magnoliopsida; Brassicales; Brassicaceae
Description: ATSL178440
Source: RNAcentral
UUUAUUUUUCUGAUUCACUUCGUCUUCUUCACGGGUUUUUUUUUAUCUCCAGUAAUUGAUUUUAUUUUUCAACUCUCAUCAUUUAUGGUUAUGGUGAUGGAGAGAGAUGUGAUUGACCGGGGGAAAGACGAAGAAAGAGUUAGGGAUUUUGGUUAAAUGAUAUAGAUUGAUGGGGAAGUGAAGCAAUUGAGGGAUUUUGACGAGGAGGAAGUAGCAGCAGGAGAUGAAAUCGCAAUUGAAAUAUGAGAAAAUUUAGGGUUUUUGGUGAAUUGAAGGAAUCUUUGAGGAGAGUGUGAGAUUUGUGUUGGUUUUGUGAAAAAGGGGAUUUUAAUCUCUUUGGCCCCUUUUGGUUGAAUCAAUUUUUGAAAAACCCUCACUUAUUCUCACUACCCCUCUCCUUCCUAACCUAUUUGAAAUACAAUUUUACCCUUCUCCUUUACUUUUUUUUAAUUUUCUAUUUAAUUUUUGCUACCAAAUAAUUUAUUAAAAUCAACCAAUCAUAUGCAUUCUCUCUCUUAUCUCAUUAAUCAUUUAAAUCUACAAAAAAUGCUGGACAACUGAAACCAAUAGGCACAACUAUGUUGAUGGACUUCUACGAAAACAUAUAAUUACAUACCAUUCUUUUUUCUUUUUGAUUUUCAAGUUAUAAUCAAAAAGACUCCAGUCAUACGCAUUGCUUAUAAUGGAUACUAUUAAAUUUUUUGUCGUAUUUAUACAAAUUAAUAUGUUUUGUAUUGGUACAACUAAGUACAACUCGCACAACUAAGGUCUAUUCACUUGGCUAGUUUUCAGAAUAUUAUAAAA